CAGAUCUAAAACUCUACACAUACCUGCCUGGACCUUUCCCUCUGAAGCUACUACUAAGGCUUUGUCAAGGUGGCGUUCUCCUCUAUUGCAAGGCAGUUUAUCAUGAUGGCUAUGUACAGAAUCAGAGCAUCUUGGGUGCUGGGCCAUGUCCUCUUUUUCCUGGACACACUGAGGAGCUACAUUUCUCAGCUUCCUUUCAGACCAUGAUCCCGCAAGGGUCCUCCUUGUCAAAGACAGCCUAGAGAGGAUGGCAAUGAGGAAAAUAAGGAAAAUCAAGAAGAGACCCAAGGUCAGCAGCCACCUCAACGUUGGUACCAUUGCAACUUAAGUUACUGACAGAAAACCCUAAACCACAAGAUGGCAAAGAGAAAAAAGCAGCUGAUCCACCAGCUGAGAAUUUAUCUGCUCCCUAGAAUUUAUAAGCAGGCCGGGGCUGGUAAAUGCCUACUUACCAUCUCUAUCAUCAUCCAGUUUAGUCAUCCAACAUGAUGAAGAUGAAAUGAAGAUGAAAUUCCAGCAACAAGAAAUGAACAACAGAUUGGAGCUGAAGACCUUAAGGGCUUGCUUUUUGUCCAUUGACCAGAUAAACAGAACUAUGUACAUUAUCUAUGCAGCAUGGGGUUUUUAUUAUUUUUACCUAAAGACAUCUCUUUGUGGUAACAACAAACAUGUUUUUUUUUUUUUUUUUUUUUUAAAGCCUGUUUUUUUCUCAAUACACCUUUAAAGGUUUUUAAAUUGUUUCAUAUUUGGUCAAGUUGAGAUUUUUAAGAACCUCAUUUUUAAUUUGUAAUAAAAGUUUACAACUUGAUUUUUUUUCAAAAAAAGUCAACAAAUGGCAAGUACUAUGUUUAUGAGAGAUAUUAGUCUGUAGUUUUCCUUGCUUGUAACAUAUUUGUCAAAUUUUGAUACUGAGGUUACCCUCCCAUCAUAAAAUGAAUUGGAAAGCAUUUCCCCUGUCUUGUUUUUCCAAGAGAAUUGUUGAAAGAUUGUAUUAUUUCUUCCUUAAAUGUCUAAUAUAACAUAUCAGUGAAACCAUCUGGGCGUCAAGUUUUCUUUGUAAGAAGAUUUUAAUUAUAACAAUUUCUUAAAUAUACAUAUGCUUUUUCCCAAUUUUCUGUUAGAUUUCCUAAAUUGGGCUUUUUUCAAGGAAUUAAUGGAUUUCACCUAAAGCUACUGAAUAUAUUAUAAUAAAGUUGUUCAUUGUAUCACCUUAUUAUCCAUUUAAUAUCUGUAGGAUCUAUGAUUCCACACUAAAAUUCUCCUUUUAUUCUUGAUAUUGUAAUUUGUAUUAUUUUCUCUUUCUGACCAUUCUUUCUAAGGUUAUGACAAUUUUAUUAACUUUUUUCAAAGAACCAAUCUCUGGCUUUGUUGAUUUUUCUCUAUUUUUAAUUUUGUUAUUUUUUUUUUACU
Canis lupus familiaris (dog) is the source of this 1410-nucleotide long non-coding RNA. RefSeq lists it as uncharacterized. The record is from RefSeq and is a predicted model, not a curated record. The transcript is spliced from 3 exons. Lineage: Eukaryota; Metazoa; Chordata; Mammalia; Carnivora; Canidae.